This 568-nucleotide ribosomal RNA is filed under the name uncultured bacterium. Its description in RNAcentral is "bacterial SSU rRNA". It matches the Rfam family "Bacterial small subunit ribosomal RNA", at positions 337 to 917 of the family's 1533-position model. The record is from RNAcentral.
UCCUACGGGAGGCAGCAGUGGGGAAUUUUCCGCAAUGGGCGAAAGCCUGACGGAGCAAUACCGCGUGAGGGAAGACUGCCUAUGGGUUGUAAACCUCUUUUUUCGGGGAGGAAUAAAAUGACGUGUACCUGAAGAAUAAGCAUCGGCUAACUCCGUGCCAGCAGCCGCGGUAAGACGGAGGAUGCAAGUGUUAUCCGGAAUCACUGGGCGUAAAGCGUCUGUAGGUGGUUAAGCAAGUCAACUGUUAAAUCUUGAGGCUCAACUUCAAAAUCGCAGUCGAAACUGUUUGACUAGAGUAUAGUAGGGGUAAAGGGAAUUUCCAGUGGAGCGGUGAAAUGCGUAGAUAUUGGAAAGAACACCGAUGGCGAAGGCACUUUACUGGGCUAUUACUGACACUCAGAGACGAAAGCUAGGGUAGCAAAUGGGAUUAGAUACCCCAGUAGUCCUAGCCGUAAACAAUGGAUACUAGAUGUUGAACAGAUCGACCUGUGCAGUAUCAAAGCUAACGCGUUAAGUAUCCCGCCUGGGAAGUAUGCUCGCAAGAGUGAAACUCAAAGGAAUUGACGGA